UGGCCUCAAGUGAUCCUCCUGCCUCAGCCUCCCAAAGUGCUGGGAUUAUAGGUGGGAGCCACUGCACCCAGCCUGUGCUGGGCAUUUUAUAUUUGUCAUCAUGUUCCAUCUUCAGAAGAGCUUUGUUCAGGCAGGUUUGGUUAUCUCACCUUUGAGGACGAGGCUGCUGAGAACACACAGGAGGUAGGUGCUCAGUAAGUCCUUGUUGAAUGGGUGAAGGGCAGCAGCUUGCUGGCGGUGGAACUGGGUCUCUAGCCUGGCCUAGGCUCUCAACAGGACACCAGGCUGCCUGUCCGGGGCUGUACCUGUCACGUUGGGGCUGGCCUGAUUUUUCCUUGAGUGUGAGUGAAUGGCAGAGCCUGGAUACAUUGUGGUGCAAGGUCCUGGUCUGGUUUGUAACCAACUAGGUGGUUAUCCAUUGCCACUGCUGGAGGGUUCCCUUGUUUCUGGCAGUUACAGGAGGGAAGAUAAGAUUUAGAGGCCACUCACUUCUGUGGCCCUGUAAGUCCCCGGCCUUGCUGCUCCAGGUACAUUGACACUACCAUCUGAGCAGGGGGUGGGGAGUGAGAAUGGGAUGUGCCUGCCCUACAGCCCUGCUGCCCAGGACCGCAGGUGACCUGAAGCCAGCACAGAUGAGGCAGCGCGUGCAACUCACGCCCCAUCCAUCUGCCUGGCCAGCUCCUUGGCCUUCUGAUAUUGACUUGGCCCCACCAAGUUCCAGGUAUUGGAAAUCCAAAACAAAUAAAGCCCAGCCCCAUAGACGGAAGCAGGUUGGCUCUCUCUUUGCGGAAGCUCAAAGUGCAACAGCUGUGUGGGUAGCCAGCUCUCUGGGUGUCACCUGUUCUGCAGGCUGUUGGAGUAAAGUCCCAGGCAGGCCUCAGCGUGUAGAUGGUGAGCCAAGGGGCAAAGUCCACCACCGAGUAAAGGUGACUUUGUGUUGCUGUGACCCAGGUGGGGUUGGAGACUCUGACCUCUCCCAGAUGGUGUUGGUGGAAGGUGAAAGUUGGCUGUGCGGAUGUCCAGGUACAGGUGUGUUAUUUUGUGUCCUGUAACCCUGAAGCAGGAACAGCACGUAGGAUUAGGAAAGGGAUGGGGGAUUGGGGGCGGGGUAGAGUGUUGAGAACGUUGGAAAGAAUCCAAGAUGUGUUCGUUUCCUAGACGCAGUAACAAGGUACCAUAAACUAGGUGGCUUUAAACAACAGAAAUUUCUUCUCUCACAGUUCUGGAGGCGGAAAGUUCAAGAUUAAGGUGCCAGCAGGGCCGUGCACCCCCUGAAGGCUCUCGAGGAGAAUCUGUUCCAUGCCUUUCACGUACCUUCUGGUGUCGCCUACAGUUCUCGGCGUCCUUGGCUUGCGUUACUCCAGCCUCUGCCUUUGUCGUCAUUCACCCUGUGUGUCUGCGUGUGCAAACUUCCCUCAUUUUAUGAGGGUACCAGCCGUUGGAUUAGGGCCCACCAGUGUAGUCAAGCUAGACUCAGGACCUCAUUUUAGCUUGGUGACGUCUGCGAACGACCUAUAGCCUGCCCGCCCUCCGUAUCCGUGUGCUCUGCAUCCUCGGGUUCAGCCAACCACAGAUGGGAAAUAUUUUGGAGGAAGAAACAAUGAAAAAUAAUACAAAUUUAAAAACACAGUAUAACCAUUAUUUACAUAGUAUUUGCACGAUGUUAGGCAUUAUAAGUAACCUACGGAGGAUGUAAAGUGUGUGGGAGGAUGUGCCUGGUUUACAUGCAAAUACUGUACCAUUUUGUACAUGGGCCUUGAGCACCCAGGGAUUUUGGUAUGCUGGGGUGGGACGGAGUGGGGGUGUGGGCCUGGAUACCAAGGGACGACUGUUUCCAAAUAAGGCACCUUCACAGGUGCUGGGGGUUGAGAUUUGAACAUGUCUUUUUGGGGGACACAGUUCAAUCCACAACACAAGAUAACGGUGUGAGGCCCCAGAUCCAAAUCCCUGUUACAAGGGGCCAUAAUGAUCCUCAUCUACUCUGUAAUUUCAGUCAGCCCAGUAACCUUACGUCAGGGAUCUGCUGUGUGCCACAGUCUCUGGGCUUGGCCAGGCGCAGAAGUGAGACAUCGCUUGGCUUUUGGGGUGAGAUGCUACUUUUAUGGAAACCGAGUUUUUUUAAAAAAAGCUGAAAGAGAAUAUUCAUGCAGGCACUUCAGAGAUGGCCUCAGAAAUAGAGACAGGCUUUUCCUUCCUGCCCUAUUAAUUUUGAGGCCAGCUGGCUCAAGCCGGCGUUGACUUCUCUCUGAAAGGAGGUGUGGGGAGGGGCCGGGAACCCCUGGACUUGGAGGUGCUUUCAGUGCCUCGUUCCCCUUCCUGCAAGGGAGGGCCAGGGCUUGGAUGGCUCUUGGAGUGUGGUUCUGGUGUCGUCUGUUCCAGGCAGCCUUGGUAGCCGGGAACUGUUUUAUUAGAAGGGCAAAUAUUGAAUAGUGUCAAUAAGGAUGUUUUUUAUAGGGGCUCCUGUGUUUUUGCUGUGGGUGAACAUGAAGCCAAGUGUGGGUUAGCCUCCAGUAGCUGGGGCCAGCCCUUUCUCUUCCCCCACAGAAGUUUCCCGUCUGAGCAGAAAGAACCAAGCGCAAGUCUCCUCGCGCACAGGCAUUCUUCUCAUGGCUUUCCAGCAUCCCUGCGUCUGAGGAGAAUUUCCGCACAGACGGCAGGAGUGGAGUAGAAAGCAUUUGUAGCUAUUGUGUUAGUGAAAACCAACGUAAUGUAAAUAGGAAGUCUGGAUUAUACGUAUCCUCAAAACGCUGCGACAGAAAACCACACACACCAAAUGAAGCUUGCAGCUGUGUGCCUGGGCUCACACCCAGGAGUGCCGUCCGCGGGCGGCGGGGGCCCUUGUUCUGGGUCGCUACCCUCCAUCUCCUCUUCGCUCUUCUCUCUCCUCUCCCAAAAAAGAGAGAGAAAAAAUUAAUUGGACGUUUUCUGCAGUUCUUUCCUGUCUUUCCAAGAUCUUCACCACGUUGAACGUGUUGAGCGUGUUCAGAGUCAGCUGGAUUAGCCGCCCUUUCUAACAGCAUCAGGAGGAGGCAGGGCACAUUUCUAUGCCCACGUGAGCCAGCCACAGGAGGUGCAAAGAAGUAUCUUGUCCAUACGUUAAUAAUCUUCCCACUUUCUGUCCCUAAAUGAUACCUUUCCUGGGAGUGUCUUGGAGCACCCUUUCCUGCUUCGAGAGCCAACUUUGGGCAGAAGCACAAGUAUUUAUCAUGCCAAGGUUGUCUGUGUGCGAUACCUAUGUAUCUCUGUGAGUAGAUCAAUUUCAUGUCUUAUUUCCAGAGUGUGUUUAGAUACAUGUUUAUAAUGAAGGCAACUAGAUAAUAAACACAGAUAAGACUCUGGUAAUUCCACUAUGUAGGGAUUAAUAUUUUUUGUAUCCUGAUUUAUAUCUUGUUGGUGUGACUUUUUUUCUAAACACGUCUGUACCCCUACAAGGCCAUGUCUAGUGAGGCGGUAUCAGUCCACUUGGCAGAGUGGGUCCAGGCGUCUACUCGGAGGCACCUCUUGGCCAUCGUGGCCCUCUCCCUGGUGGGCUUUCUCAGCGGCCCGGUGCUGGCUCCCCGCUGUCCAUCCUUCCUUCCUCUUCCGGUCUCCGUGGAGCCUUAGCAAGUGCAGACCACCCAUCCUCAGUUUGCCAAGUUGCACGUGCUCUUCUCAAAUCCCGGGGCCUGUGUUGACGCAGGGUUCCCUUCCAAAAGGGCUGCCCACACACUUCUUUGCCAGGGGCUCUUGCAGCCCCUUCCUCCAGUCAGAAGCUCUUUGCAAUUGACAUUGCCAAAACUAAUUUCUUUCCUUUGGGGAGAGGGGUUGGGGUAUAAUCCUUGCUGCAAAUCCUAGAGUUCAGGACUGCUGUGUCCAGGUGACCUUGUGUGUGUCGAGAGAAAGGUUGUAUGGAGCUAUGGUUUUUAACCUUUCUGGGAGCACAGAUCCCCGUGAGACUGAAAUUCAUUGUCCUCUUUUCCAAACUCUACACAGUCACACAUACAAAUAACUGUGCCUCAUAAGUCUGGGGGUUUGGGUUUGCAGACCCUCUGAAGUCCAUCCCAGAGCCCCUUUAGAGGCAGACACACUCCCCUACCACUGGGUGGGCGUCUUAGUGUCCAGUUUGCCUGCUGUAGGAUAGCUGCAAUGGUAGUUCCCCGACAGUUGUGCUGCUGUGAGGAUGGUGAUGAUUAUAACAGCUUAGAUCUACCGAGCUCUGAUGAUGAUGUUGUUCAGCCAGUUCUCACCAUGACCCAGUGGGCGGAACAUACUACCAUCCCGUUUCACAGAGGAGCAAAUGGAAGCUCACAGAGGUGAAGUGACAUGCCCAGGGUCAUGCGAUUAGAGCCAGGAUUGGAACCCAGGCAAUGCGGGUUUAGACUGCGUGCCAAGCACCUGACAUGCAGCAAGGAAUGCAUCGGGUGCUGUGUGAGUGGCAGCAGCAAUAUUAAAAGCAGCAGAGGGUUAGGACACAGCCUCCCCUCUCCCACGGUCCCCCACCUGUCCUGAGCAUCCUCCUGGUACAGGAUCCGGGCUACGGAGGAGCUCGCAGGCGGGUGGAGGCGAGCGCAGAUCCGCCAAUCCUGGGAAAUGUGUAAAAUCCUGUUCCUGAAAACCGACCGGGUUCUCAAAGUGUCCCGGCUGGCAUGUUUUGCUAGUCACGAAACAUGAUCCAUACGCUGUAUUUUAGGACUCCCCAUCUGUCGGCAUCGGGGAGCGUUUUCCCUUGAGGAAGCUCAGAGCAUGCCAGCUCACCGAGAGGGCCGGUGGGCAAGGCGGAUCUGUGAUAUGUGAUAGUAGGGUGGGCCUAGAGGGCUGGCACGUGGGAGACAUGGCUAGGGGCUCUACCCAGGGCGUGCCAGGUCCCUUUCCCGUUACUUCACUCAAGUUUUAGACAAAUGCCCACUUUUGAGUCUUGGGGAGGUUGUUUUCUCUGGUCCAGGGUUUCAAGACUGCUAAGAGGCUGAGCAGCAGAGAUUUGAACUUCAGUUUUUAGAUUGUCCAGUGUUCAGUGCCUUGUCCCUCCUGCUUCUGAGCCUUCCCACUGCAGGUGGUGAAGGACAGGGUGUGGGACCUGCCCAGGAGUGGGCGGCGGGAGAGGGAGGGCAUGAGCCUUGCUCUUGGGCCUCGGCUGGUGGUAGAGGAAGACGCUAGGAGGGCUAUUGAUCCGCCCGCUCCUCCCAGGACGAGAGGGCCACAGCACAUUCUGGCUUUCUUUUUAAAAAUGCAUUAACCUGACCGUAAGCAGGCCCUGGUUUAAAAAUAAAUAAAUAAAAAUAA
This is a non-coding RNA of Microcebus murinus (gray mouse lemur), 5259 nucleotides long. The record is from RefSeq and is a predicted model, not a curated record. NCBI's taxonomy places the organism in Eukaryota, Metazoa, Chordata, Mammalia, Primates, Cheirogaleidae.